AUUGAACGCUGGCGGCAGGCUUAACACAUGCAAGUCGAGCGGGGUGAUGGUGCUUGCACUAUCACUUAGCGGCGGACGGGUGAGUAAUGCUUAGGAAUCUGCCUAUUAGUGGGGGACAACAUCUCGAAAGGGAUGCUAAUACCGCAUACGUCCUACGGGAGAAAGCAGGGGAUCACUUGUGACCUUGCGCUAAUAGAUGAGCCUAAGUCGGAUUAGCUAGUUGGUGGGGUAAAGGCCUACCAAGGCGACGAUCUGUAGCGGGUCUGAGGGGAUGAUCGGCCACACUGGGACUGAGACACGGCCCAGACUCCUACGGGAGGCAGCAGUGGGGAAUAUUGGACAAUGGGGGGAACCCUGAUCCAGCCAUGCCGCGUGUGUGAAGAAGGCCUUAUGGUUGUAAAGCACUUUAAGCGAGGAGGAGGCUCUUUUGGUUAAUACCCAAGAUGAGUGGACGUUACUCGCAGAAUAAGCACCGGCUAACUCUGUGCCAGCCGCCGCAGUAA
RNAcentral lists this ribosomal RNA (503 nucleotides) under uncultured bacterium. RNAcentral's name for it is "partial 16S ribosomal RNA". It matches the Rfam family "Bacterial small subunit ribosomal RNA", at positions 30 to 523 of the family's 1533-position model. The record is from RNAcentral.